RNAcentral lists this unclassified non-coding RNA (341 nucleotides) under Apioperdon pyriforme. RNAcentral describes it as "Lycoperdon pyriforme partial internal transcribed spacer region". The stretch from base 1 to 46 matches the Rfam family "Eukaryotic small subunit ribosomal RNA", at positions 1786 to 1831 of the family's 1831-position model. The record is from RNAcentral. Lineage: Eukaryota; Fungi; Basidiomycota; Agaricomycetes; Agaricales; Lycoperdaceae.
AAGUCGUAACAAGGUUUCCGUAGGUGAACCUGCGGAAGGAUCAUUAUUGAAUAUUCCUGAUGAGUUGUAGCUGGCUCUUUGGAGCAUGUGCACGCUUGUCUUGAUCUUAUUCAUCCACCUGUGCACAUUUUGUAGUCUUUUGGGCUGAGUCGAGUAUCGGAUGGAUGUCUAUCCGGAUGUGAGGACUGCUGAGUGCGAAAGCAUACGGCUCUUCUCUGUUUGACCUCACCCUUGAGUACUAUGUAUUCAUAUACCACAUAGUAUGUUGUAGAAUGUGAUCAUUGGGCCUUUGUGCCUAUAAUAAUCAUAUACAACUUUCAACAACGGAUCUCUUGGUUCUG